AAAAAGUCAAGAAAGGGUGGAAUUACAGAAAGACCCCUCACCAAUCUCACAUAAAUAUCAGGCAUGCCUUUACAAGGGUAUUUGGUGGGUUGGAAAAAUUAUUAGUGAGGUGGGGAGCAGCAAUGUAAACCUCACCUACCCACUCCACUUCAUGCAGUUCCAAGCCUUCCUAACCCCUUAACGCACGUGCCAAUUCACACGUGACCAUUUCAUCUUGGCAUAUUCUCUUUUCCAUCCCAGGAUUCCCUGCCCGGCUGCUGCUGAAUUCGCUGGUAGGGCAGUGAAGAAGGUGAGACGGAAAGAAGAGGAUCCCCUGAUGGUGGAGGAGGGAAAGAGUCGGCAGAGCCUUUGGAUUCUAAAUAUUUUUCUUUUAAAGACGCAGUGACAAAUUCGGCUGCCACGAAUUAUUUAUCGGGGAAUGACUGGGAAGAGGAAGAUUUUGAAUUAGAUGAUGGGGAUAUACUGAGGGAGACUGUUGAUGGUAUGCCUGCAAUUGAUUUCUCAUAUAGGCGCUUUAUUCACUUAUCGAGAAGAGUAUGUUUAGCACCAUCGUUUUGAAAAUUUUAGGGAAGAGUAUCGGGGAGUUUUAGCUCAUAA
This is a long non-coding RNA of Gossypium arboreum, 597 nucleotides long. RefSeq lists it as uncharacterized. The record is from RefSeq and is a predicted model, not a curated record. Lineage: Eukaryota; Viridiplantae; Streptophyta; Magnoliopsida; Malvales; Malvaceae. The transcript is spliced from 2 exons.